This 491-nucleotide ribosomal RNA is filed under the name uncultured bacterium. RNAcentral describes it as "bacterial SSU rRNA". It matches the Rfam family "Bacterial small subunit ribosomal RNA", at positions 28 to 507 of the family's 1533-position model. The record is from RNAcentral.
GAUGAACGCUAGCGGCAGGCUUAACACAUGCAAGUCGAGGGGCAGCAUGACGGAACCUUCGGGUUUUGUUGAUGGCGACCGGCGCAAGGGUGCGUAACGCGUGAGCAACUUGCCCGUUUCUGGGGAAUAACCGGUGGAAACGCCGACUAAUACCCCAUAGUAUUGGUUUUAGGCAUCUUUAACCAAUUAAAGAAUUUCGGAAACGGAUAGGCUCGCGUGACAUUAGCUAGAUGGCGGGGUAACGGCCCACCAUGGCGACGAUGUCUAGGGGUUCUGAGAGGAAGGUCCCCCACACUGGAACUGAGACACGGUCCAAACUCCUACGGGAGGCAGCAGUGAGGAAUAUUGGUCAAUGGUCGGAAGACUGAACCAGCCAAGUAGCGUGAAGGAUGACUGCCCUACGGGUUGUAAACUUCUUUUGUUUGGGAAUAAAAGACGCUACGUGUAGCGUUCUGCAUGUACCUUACGAAUAAGCAUCGGCUAAUUCCGUG